GUUCUCCAUCACGCACAUCACCUCUCGUCUCUCUCCCUCCCUCGGCAACCGGAGCACAUCACCACUCCUCCGUCACCGAUCGCCGGUGAUUAUUGAAGGAACUUGGGAGCUUGCCGUCUGAUGCUGCUGGAGUGGUUAUUGUUGUUUGCUGUUGCAACGAAGAAGAACACAAGUUGCAGAUUUUGUUUGCGGCGAUCUGGGGGAUGAUGUUCAUCAACGCCGCCGCAUAUCAUCUUCCCCCAAAUCAAAGGUCCAGUUUCAUGUGGGUUAAUCUGUUUGAUGCAAAAUUAGGGUUUGGGUUUUGUGUGGCUCGGAGUAAAGAAAGAAGGUGAGAUUGUCGGUUUGAUUGUCUCCGUUUGAUUGUCGGAGAUUUUGAAGCCGAUUUGAUUGUCGGUUUCUUCACUGCCGAUUUAACAGCUUUGAGUUAUGUGAGGGUUUUUGAGGGUUUUGGGUUUUGAGGGUUUUGGGUUUGGGAGGGUUGGCGGCAGUGGGAUGGUGGUG
This 501-nucleotide long non-coding RNA is filed under the name Helianthus annuus (common sunflower). RNAcentral describes it as "sRNA HanXRQr2_Chr01g0030981". Lineage: Eukaryota; Viridiplantae; Streptophyta; Magnoliopsida; Asterales; Asteraceae. The record is from RNAcentral.